AAUGAAAUGCCCGAAAAUAAGGAUUAUUUUGAUAGAAUAAAAAAUGUAAAUUAAUUUACUUUCAUUA
RNAcentral lists this transfer RNA (67 nucleotides) under Elateroidea sp. 1 KM-2017. RNAcentral's name for it is "tRNA-Ile". Lineage: Eukaryota; Metazoa; Arthropoda; Insecta; Coleoptera. The record is from RNAcentral.